Molecule: long non-coding RNA, 293 nt
Filed under: Salvia miltiorrhiza (redroot sage)
Lineage: Eukaryota; Viridiplantae; Streptophyta; Magnoliopsida; Lamiales; Lamiaceae
Description: long non-coding RNA (SMIL_LNC011494)
Source: RNAcentral
UGAAAACAAGCAUUACACUCUUACUCUGCUGCACUCUGCAUCGUAAAAGUUCUGUUCUCGCCUCGUUCCAGUUCGCCGGAGCUCGUUGGUGUGCGGUGCUGCUACCUACGAGACGAAGCCGUUUUAUCUUUGGGGACGACACGCCAAACCGAGAGCACUACCGGGGCGUAUCUCGUCUUGCGGACAGAGGACCCUCCUCGACUCGGCUGCCUUUCUGGUUUUAUUAAAUUGUAAUUUCAAUACAGUUUUUCCCUUGUAUUCUCAUCUCCUACAUUUCUGUGUUACAUUGUACU